RNAcentral lists this ribosomal RNA (134 nucleotides) under Salmonella enterica subsp. enterica serovar Infantis. Its description in RNAcentral is "partial 16S ribosomal RNA". The record is from RNAcentral. Lineage: Bacteria; Pseudomonadati; Pseudomonadota; Gammaproteobacteria; Enterobacterales; Enterobacteriaceae.
UUAAAUUGAAGAGUUUGAUCAUGGCUCAGAUUGAACGCUGGCGGCAGGCCUAACACAUGCAAGUCGAACGGUAACAGGAAGCAGCUUGCUGCUUYGCUGACGAGUGGCGGACGGGUGAGUAAUGUCUGGGAAAC